RNAcentral lists this ribosomal RNA (253 nucleotides) under uncultured bacterium. Its description in RNAcentral is "partial 16S ribosomal RNA". It matches the Rfam family "Bacterial small subunit ribosomal RNA", at positions 524 to 776 of the family's 1533-position model. The record is from RNAcentral.
UACAGGGGUUGCAAACGUUGCUCGGAAUCAUUGGGCGUAAAGCGCACGUAGGCGGUCUGUUAUGUCGGAUGUGAAAGCCCUUGGCUCAACUGAGGAAGUGCAUCCGAAACUGGCAGGCUAGAGUACUAAAGAGGGUCGCGGAAUUCCCGGUGUAGAGGUGAAAUUCGUAGAUAUCGGGAGGAACACCGGUGGCGAAGGCGGCGACCUGGGUAGAUACUGACGCUGAGGUGCGAAAGCGUGGGGAGCAAACAGG